GUGCCUGUAGCUCAGUUGGAUAGAGCAUCUGCCUUCUAAGCCGAGGGUCGCAGGUUCGAAUCCUGCCAGGCACGCCA
RNAcentral lists this transfer RNA (77 nucleotides) under Candidatus Omnitrophota bacterium. RNAcentral describes it as "Candidatus Omnitrophica bacterium tRNA-Arg". It matches the Rfam family "tRNA". From Rfam's summary of the family: Transfer RNA (tRNA) molecules are approximately 80 nucleotides in length. Their secondary structure includes four short double-helical elements and three loops (D, anti-codon, and T loops). Further hydrogen bonds mediate the characteristic L-shaped molecular structure. tRNAs have two regions of fundamental functional importance: the anti-codon, which is responsible for specific mRNA codon recognition, and the 3' end, to which the tRNAs corresponding amino acid is attached (by aminoacyl-tRNA synthetases). tRNAs cope with the degeneracy of the genetic code in two manners: having more than one tRNA (with a specific anti-codon) for a particular amino acid; and 'wobble' base-pairing, i.e. permitting non-standard base-pairing at the 3rd anti-codon position. The record is from RNAcentral. Lineage: Bacteria; Pseudomonadati; Candidatus Omnitrophota.